RNAcentral lists this long non-coding RNA (1196 nucleotides) under Phoenix dactylifera (date palm). RNAcentral describes it as "long non-coding RNA (PDAC_LNC009981)". The record is from RNAcentral. Lineage: Eukaryota; Viridiplantae; Streptophyta; Magnoliopsida; Arecales; Arecaceae.
UGACAUCUAUCAAAAAUCAUCUCACAUCCAAGCUAUGUUGCAAGCAUGUGCUACAACCUUAGGCAUUCGGCAGUGCACUGAUGCAGAUGAAGGCCCAUCUUAUGGCAGUGAGAAUGUUUCAGCUGAAAGCGAGGAUUUCUACAUUGAAAAUCACGCAAGUGCUCAUCCUUCAAAUUUAGAUGCUAAGAUUGAAAAUGCACCAGCUUAAAAAAUCUGGUUAAGAAGACUGAAGGCUCUAUAGAAAUAAUUUUAAAGGAAUUUCUAAUUGCUGAAAGCAACACCAAUUAAGACCUAUAACUGGAUCAAAGCACGUUGAAGAUAUGAUCCUUGCUAAUUCUGCAGUUUCCUUGGUAAACACUAUCAAUCAAGUUAUCAAAAGAUUCAUAGUUACCAAUUGUCGGGCACCACAACAAAUGAUUAAUGAAGUGAUAGGGAGAAUGUUCUACAUAGGCCUCUAUCAUCCAAUGUUCAAGACUCAGAAUGGUCGAUCAAAAUUUUAAGGGAUAUGAUCUUGAGGACCAGGUAAGCAUAACAGAAGCAAAUGAUGCUGGAGCAUUUCUUUGCAUCCAUAUCCAUGGCAUAUGUCGUGACUGGUUGCUAUUUAGAGGUCAAGAUGACAAAAAAAGACAACUAUUUUGAAUUGUUUUAGUAUUUAAUAAUUAAUUGAAGUGUUUCUUUGUAAGAAAACGAAUCUACUGUUUGGCACUGUACAUGCUACAAUACUGUCAAAAGUGAAUAGCAUACAUGACUUUUCAUUUAGGAGUUUUAGUUAGGUCUCCUUAGUGUCCAGCUAGAAAAUCUUAGAUAAAAUUUAAAGCAUGGUUCUGGGGAUUUUAAUUGGAGUUAAAUGAAUAGGUGGUAGCUGAUUUCUCUAGGUACUUUCCAAUUUGAAGAAUCCUAGUUUGCUUGUAAGAGAGGUCACUGGAUGAAAGCAUUGUAUGUGGCUGUUGAAAGAAAGAAAGGAUUUCUCUGCCUUUCUUUCCAUCUUUAUUUUUUUCUCUGUCCGUCAUGUUUUUGGAUUAAAAAUUAAGUUCCAAGACUGAUGCUCUCCCCAGCAUAUCAGAUAUGAGAAGAAGGUUUUGACCACAAGCAUGAUGAUAUGACAUCUAUCAAAAAUCAUCUCACAUCCAAGCUAUGUUGCAAGCAUGUGCUACAACCUUAGGCAUUCGGCAGUGCACUGAUGCAGAUGAAGGCCC